AAAAGUCAGUUAUCUAAUGAAUUGUUUUGUUGAUUUUCCUACACAUGAACAUGCAGUUCUUAUCUACUCUUCAAAGAUCAUCUGCAAAAGCAUCAAAGACAUCAAAGGAAGAACUGGACAACGGUGGACCUCUGUUGUUGAUGGGACAUUUACUCAUAGGGGAAGGACCUCAUUUAAACCUGGAUACCUUGAAGAAAAAAGGUACAGACAUUCAGAGGAGUUGGUGACUGCAGUUGGAUGAUUUGGAGGUAAGAGUUUGUUUACCAAGCAAUAACCAAAGCAGAAUUCAUUGUUUCCAAGGCUGUUGCAAACCAAAAAUAGGGCAGUAUUGUUUUGUUGAAAAAACGGAGAGAAACUGAUAGCAAGGCUACAUGAACAGAAGGGCAAUCACUCUGGGUUAGAUACGCUAUUGAGGAAAAUUUGCAGGCAAAACAGGUUGUUCUUCUGACAGCUAGUCAGAGAAAUUGGUCUAUAAUUUGCCAAGCUUACAGUUUGUUUAUGUCUUACCUCAUUAUAGAAUCAAUUUGAGAUAAAAUGUUAAGACUGAUAAGGUUGCUCAGGAACUAGUCCCUAAAUAUUCCCAUUAGAAUUUCUUAGCUCUAUAAUAAACCCCUUAUAUCAUUAAAAAUGGAUCA
RNAcentral lists this long non-coding RNA (635 nucleotides) under Vulpes vulpes (red fox). Its description in RNAcentral is "lncRNA (ENSVVUG00000001408.1)". Lineage: Eukaryota; Metazoa; Chordata; Mammalia; Carnivora; Canidae. The record is from RNAcentral.